AUUGAACGCUGGCGGCAGGCCUAACACAUGCAAGUCGAACGGUAACAGGAAGAAGCUUGCUUCUUUGCUGACGAGUGGCGGACGGGUGAGUAAUGUCUGGGGAACUGCCUGAUGGAGGGGGAUAACUACUGGAAACGGUAGCUAAUACCGCAUAACGUCGCAAGACCAAAAAGGGGGACCUUCGGGCCUCUUGCCAUCGGAUGUGCCCAGAUGGGAUUAGCUAGUAGGUGGGGUAACGGCUCACCUAGGCGACGAUCCCUAGCUGGUCUGAGAGGAUGACCAGCCACACUGGAACUGAGACACGGUCCAGACUCCUACGGGAGGCAGCAGUGGGGAAUAUUGCACAAUGGGCGCAAGCCUGAUGCAGCCAUGCCGCGUGUAUGAAGAAGGCCUUCGGGUUGUAAAGUACUUUCAGCGGGGAGGAAGGGAGUAAAGUUAAUACCUUUGCUCAUUGACGUUACCCGCAGAAGAAGCACCGGCUAACUCCGUG
RNAcentral lists this ribosomal RNA (490 nucleotides) under uncultured bacterium. RNAcentral's name for it is "partial 16S ribosomal RNA". It matches the Rfam family "Bacterial small subunit ribosomal RNA", at positions 30 to 507 of the family's 1533-position model. The record is from RNAcentral.